RNAcentral lists this ribosomal RNA (458 nucleotides) under uncultured bacterium. Its description in RNAcentral is "partial 16S ribosomal RNA". It matches the Rfam family "Bacterial small subunit ribosomal RNA", at positions 338 to 795 of the family's 1533-position model. The record is from RNAcentral.
CCUACGGGUGGCAGCAGGGAGGAAUAUUGGUCAAUGGGCGAGAGCCUGAACCAGCCAAGUCGCGUGAGGGAGUACUGCCCUAUGGGUUGUAAACCUCUUUUGUCGGGGAGCAAAAGCCGGACGUGUCCGGCUUUGAGAGUACCCGAAAACAAAGCAUCGGCUAACUCCGUGCCAGCAGCCGCGGUAAUACGGAGGGUGAGAGCGUUAUCCGGGUUUAGUGGUGUAAACGGGUGCGCAGGCGGAUUGUUAUGUCAGCGGUCAAAGCGUGGGGCUCAACCCCAUCCAGCCGUUGAGCCUGGGGAUCUAGAGUGUGCGAGAGGUAUGCGGAAGGCGUGGUGUAGCGGUGAAAUGCAUAGAUAUCACGCAGAACCCCGAUUGCGAAGGCAGCAGACCGGUGCACAACUGACGCUCAGGCACGAAAGCGUGGGUAUCGAACAGGAUUAGAUACCCUAGUAGUC